CAGUCGCCGCGGUAAUACGAAGGGUGCAAGCGUUAAUCGGAAUUACUGGGCGUAAAGCGUGCGUAGGCGGUUUGUUAAGUCUAUUGUGAAAUCCCCGGGCUCAACCUGGGAAUGGCAGUGGAUACUGGCAAGCUAGAGUGUGUCAGAGGAUGGUGGAAUUCCCGGUGUAGCGGUGAAAUGCGUAGAGAUCGGGAGGAACAUCAGUGGCGAAGGCGGCCAUCUGGGACAACACUGACGCUGAGGCACGAAAGCGUGGGGAGCAAACAGGAUUAGAUACCCCCGUAGUCCCUGUCUCUUAUAC
This 301-nucleotide ribosomal RNA is filed under the name uncultured bacterium. RNAcentral's name for it is "partial 16S ribosomal RNA". It matches the Rfam family "Bacterial small subunit ribosomal RNA", at positions 509 to 807 of the family's 1533-position model. The record is from RNAcentral.